This 237-nucleotide unclassified non-coding RNA is filed under the name Ascomycota sp. RNAcentral describes it as "partial contains small subunit ribosomal RNA, internal transcribed spacer 1, and 5.8S ribosomal RNA". The stretch from base 1 to 47 matches the Rfam family "Eukaryotic small subunit ribosomal RNA", at positions 1785 to 1831 of the family's 1831-position model. Lineage: Eukaryota; Fungi; Ascomycota. The record is from RNAcentral.
AAAGUCGUAACAAGGUUUCCGUAGGUGAACCUGCGGAAGGAUCAUUACAGAGUUCAUGCCCUCACGGGUAGAUCUCCCACCCUUGAAUAACAUACCUUUGUUGCUUUGGCAGGCCGCACUCGUGCCAGAGGCUUCGGCUUCUGAGUGCCUGCCAGAGGACCCCACAACUCUUGUUUUUAGUGAUGUCUGAGUACUAUAUAAUAGUUAAAACUUUCAACAACGGAUCUCUUGGUUCUG